AGAGUUUGAUCCUGGCAGAACGAACGCUGGCGGAGUGCUUAAGACAUGCAAGUCGUACGAGAAAGCCGUCUUCGGAUGGUGAGUAGAGUGGCGCACGGGUGAGUAACACGUGGAUAAUCUGCCUUUUGGUCUGGGAUAACCCCGGGAAACUGGAGCUAAUACCGGAUGAGCCCACGACGUCUCGGGACGAUGUGGGAAAAGAUGGCCUCUCCUUGGAAGCUAUCGCCAAUCGAUGAGUCCGCGGACCAUUAGCUUGUUGGUGAGGUAACGGCUCACCAAGGCUGCGAUGGUUAGCUGAUCUGAGAGGAUGAUCAGCCACACUGGGACUGAGACACGGCCCAGACUCCUGCGGGAGGCAGCAGUGGGGAAUAUUGGACAAUGGGCGAAAGCCUGAUCCAGCAAUACCGCGUGUGUGAAGAAGGCCUGAGGGUUGUAAAGCACUUUCAAUAGAGACGAAAAGCCUGGGAUUAAUACUUCCGGGUCUUGACUUAACCUAUAGAAGAAGCACCGGCUAACUCCGUGCCAGCAGCCGCGGUAAUACGGAGGGUGCAAGCGUUAAUCGGAAUUACUGGGCGUAAAGCGCUCGUAGGCGGCUUGUUAAGUCGGAUGUGAAAGCCCUGGGCUCAACCUGGGAACUGCAUUCGAUACUGGCAAACUAGAGUAUAGUAGAGGCAAGUGGAAUUCCGGGUGUAGCGGUGAAAUGCGUAGAUAUCCGGAGGAACAUCAGUGGCGAAGGCGACUUGCUGGACUAAUACUGACGCUGAGGAGCGAAAGCGUGGGGAGCAAACGGGAUUAGAUACCCCGGUAGUCCACGCCGUAAACGAUGUCAACUAGCCGUUGGGGGUCUUAGUACCUUUAGUGGCGCGGCUAACGCAUUAAGUUGACCGCCUGGGGAGUACGGCCGCAAGGUUAAACUCAAAGGAAUUGACGGGGGCCCGCACAAGCGGU
This 948-nucleotide ribosomal RNA is filed under the name uncultured Gammaproteobacteria bacterium. Its description in RNAcentral is "bacterial SSU rRNA". It matches the Rfam family "Bacterial small subunit ribosomal RNA", at positions 1 to 933 of the family's 1533-position model. Lineage: Bacteria; Pseudomonadati; Pseudomonadota; Gammaproteobacteria. The record is from RNAcentral.